GCGUUGGGAGCUCUCCCAUAUGGUCGACCUGCAGGCGGCCGCGAAUUCACUAGUGAUUCGUAUUACCGCGGCUGCUGGCACGAAGUUAGCCGGGGCUUCUUCUCCGGGUACCGUCAUUAUCGUCCCCGGUGAAAGGAUUUUACAAUCCUAAGACCUUCAUCAUCCACGCGGCAUGGCUGCGUCAGGCUUUCGCCCAUUGCGCAAGAUUCCCCACUGCUGCCUCCCGUAGGAGUCUGGGCCGUGUCUCAGUCCCAGUGUGGCUGGCCAUCCUCUCAGACCAGCUACUGAUCGUCGCCUUGGUGAGCCAUUACCUCACCAACUAGCUAAUCAGACGCGGGCCGCUCCAAAGGCGAUAAAUCUUUCCCCCGAAGGGCUCAUCCGGUAUUAGCACAAGCUUCCCUGUGUUGUUCCGAACCUAAGGGUACGUUCCCACGUGUUACUCACCCGUCCGCCACUAUCCCGAAGGACCGUUCGACUUGCAUGUGUUAAGCCUGCCGCCAGCGUUCGCUCUGAGCCAUGAUCAAACUCUAAUCGAAUUCCCGCGGCCGCCAUGGCGGCCGGGAGCAUGCGACGUCGGGCCCA
RNAcentral lists this ribosomal RNA (582 nucleotides) under uncultured Alphaproteobacteria bacterium. Its description in RNAcentral is "partial 16S ribosomal RNA". Lineage: Bacteria; Pseudomonadati; Pseudomonadota; Alphaproteobacteria. The record is from RNAcentral.